RNAcentral lists this unclassified non-coding RNA (247 nucleotides) under Hevea brasiliensis (rubber tree). Lineage: Eukaryota; Viridiplantae; Streptophyta; Magnoliopsida; Malpighiales; Euphorbiaceae. The record is from RNAcentral.
AAUCUGCUAAAGUUUAAAGGACGUCCUUUUUUCUCUUCCAUCCGUGAAGGAUCCAUGCCAUCAUCGCCAUACAUGAAUUGAACUAUACAUGCGCUAGCAUUUCUUACAGUGCUGUCAUAAUAAACAGCAAGGUCCUCUAAAGCCUUCAUAAGUCGACGAGACAUGUAUCCGGUGUCAGCAGUUUUAACCGCUGUAUCAACAAGGCCUUCUCUUCCUCCCAUUGUGUGAAAAAAGAACUCAGUUGCUG